GAGGUUCCAUCGUCACAAAUCCAAAGCUUAACGAUCUCAGGGUGGCGUAAGCUCAAGUCUCUACCUGAUCAAAUUCAACACUUCACUACUUUAACGUCUUUGGAGAUAAGAUCAUUCGGCAGAGUGGAGUCUUUGCCGGAGUGGUUGGGUGACCUUACAUCUCUUACCCAACUGCGUAUUAAGAGGUGCAAGAAUCUCAUGUAUUUUCCUACAGUGGAAGCUAUGCAACGGAUCACCAAGCUACAUGUGCUAGAGAUUGAUGCAUGUCCCCAUCUAAAGGAAGCAUGCGCUGAGGAGAGCGGCAGUGAAUGGCCUAAGAUUUCCCGCAUCCCACAUAAACGAUUUCACUGAUGUGAAGAUUCUCCGGCAUUGUUAAAUGAUGUUUCGACCGAGUCGGGAUCUUAAAGUGAGGAUUUGAUUCAUACGGAGAGGCCUCAAUGAACUAGCGCAGUUGGAUAUAUAUUCAUGCUUAUCAUCUUUCAAGAGAAGUGCCUUGUUGGGUAGUCCGGAAGUUGUUCAAAAUUGAAACACAAGGUUUCUUUUGGUGAAGCAGGCAAUGGCGUUAUCCGAGAUAUUCUGCAUUUUGGGAUGUCUUGCCAUAGCUUUCUCUAAGGUUGCUUGGUGGGCAGAACUUGGAAGAAUGUUGGUCAGAUGUGGAAUGGGGAUUCUUUCUUGUGUGGUGCCUUUUUUUGUGUGGAAAUUAUACAAGUUUAUGAGGAGGUACAAGCAAAAGAGAAGAAAAAUGUACAAGUACGAAGAUUCAAAGAAUGAUGAAUGAAACGAGAAAAUAAUUUGAUCG
Malus domestica (apple) is the source of this 799-nucleotide non-coding RNA. The record is from RefSeq and is a predicted model, not a curated record. Lineage: Eukaryota; Viridiplantae; Streptophyta; Magnoliopsida; Rosales; Rosaceae.